CGGUAAGCACGCCGAGAGUCGUGGCCCCUCUCGUAAAUCUCAGACCUCAAGCCAUAACUGGCAACAACAACUUUGCACUCGCUGCGUAGUCUUGAGCUAAGCUCGACUCCUUAAUCGACUGGUCUAGGACCAGUUGACGAGUAUCCCGCCGGGGUCUUGGAAUGUCGCUCCGGAGUUCGGGAUAUCAUCAGGCAAUUCCUGCACGGGUGGAUGUCUCUAAAGCCCGCCAAGAUUCUGAGGAUACGCUUCGCAUGGCCUGCCGCCCGGCAGUGCGUCGCCGACAAUCAAAGGGAGGAUAAGCGUGUAGAAAGCUGGUUGGUGCUUUGUUUGGACGGCGGUUCGAGUCCGCCCAUCUCCACAA
Molecule: transfer-messenger RNA, 361 nt
Filed under: Bacteroidales bacterium
Lineage: Bacteria; Pseudomonadati; Bacteroidota; Bacteroidia; Bacteroidales
Description: partial transfer-messenger RNA
Rfam family: transfer-messenger RNA
About the family: Bacterial tmRNA, also known as 10Sa RNA or SsrA, is named for its dual tRNA and mRNA-like properties. Its role is to liberate the mRNA from a stalled ribosome.
Source: RNAcentral